GACUUCGGGGAACGAUACGGCGUCGAGCGGCGGACGGGUGAGUAAUGCCUAGGAAAUUGCCCUGAUGUGGGGGAUAACCAUUGGAAACGAUGGCUAAUACCGCAUAAUGCCUACGGGCCAAAGAGGGGGACCUUCGGGCCUCUCGCGUCAGGAUAUGCCUAGGUGGGAUUAGCUAGUUGGUGAGGUAAGGGCUCACCAAGGCGACGAUCCCUAGCUGGUCUGAGAGGAUGAUCAGCCACACUGGAACUGAGACACGGUCCAGACUCCUACGGGAGGCAGCAGUGGGGAAUAUUGCACAAUGGGCGCAAGCCUGAUGCAGCCAUGCCGCGUGUGUGAAGAAGGCCUUCGGGUUGUAAAGCACUUUCAGUCGUGAGGAAGGUAGUGUAGUUAAUAGCUGCAUUAUUUGACGUUAGCGACAGAAGAAGCACCGGCUAACUCCGUGCCAGCAGCCGCGGUAAUACGGAGGGUGCGAGCGUUAAUCGGAAUUACUGGGCGUAAAGCGCAUGCAGGUGGUUUGUUAAGUCAGAUGUGAAAGCCCGGGGCUCAACCUCGGAAUUGCAUUUGAAACUGGCAGACUAGAGUACUGUAGAGGGGGGUAGAAUUUCAGGUGUAGCGGUGAAAUGCGUAGAGAUCUGAAGGAAUACCGGUGGCGAAGGCGGCCCCCUGGACAGAUACUGACACUCAGAUGCGAAAGCGUGGGGAGCAAACAGGAUUAGAUACCCUGGUAGUCCACGCCGUAAACGAUGUCUACUUGGAGGUUGUGGCCUUGAGCCGUGGCUUUCGGAGCUAACGCGUUAAGUAGACCGCCUGGGGAGUACGGUCGCAAGAUUAAAACUCAAAUGAAUUGACGGGGGCCCGCACAAGCGGUGGAGCAUGUGGUUUAAUUCGAUGCAACGCGAAGAACCUUACCUACUCUUGACAUCCA
This 925-nucleotide ribosomal RNA is filed under the name Vibrio sp. R5B4. RNAcentral's name for it is "bacterial SSU rRNA". It matches the Rfam family "Bacterial small subunit ribosomal RNA", at positions 69 to 990 of the family's 1533-position model. The record is from RNAcentral. Lineage: Bacteria; Pseudomonadati; Pseudomonadota; Gammaproteobacteria; Vibrionales; Vibrionaceae.